UUUGUUUUCAGUUUUCCUCUGUUUUUGUUUUUGUUUGCUUUCUUAACUAAAUAAAAAUUGCAUGCUUUAUAAUCAAAUUUUAUAAUCACUUAUUCUUAAUCUAAUCAAAACCCCCUAUUUCAUUUUCUUAUUUGGUUAAUUUAUCAAGAGUCCCCUCGAUACGAUACUCGAGUGUCGCUUCUCUAGACUACCGUUCUUAAUUACUCGUUUUUGACCAGUGUGUGACAGCGGAUCAAAU
Molecule: long non-coding RNA, 238 nt
Filed under: Lathyrus oleraceus (garden pea)
Lineage: Eukaryota; Viridiplantae; Streptophyta; Magnoliopsida; Fabales; Fabaceae
Description: Pisum sativum (pea) long non-coding RNA (PSAT_LNC020591)
Source: RNAcentral